AACGAACGCUGGCGGCAUGCCUAACACAUGCCAGUCGAACGAGACCUUCGGGUCUAGUGGCGCACGGGUGCGUAACGCCUGGUAACCUGCCCUUAGGUUCGGUAUAACUCCCCGAAAGGGGUGCUAAUACCGGAUAAUGUCUUCGGACCAAAGAUUUAUCGCCUUUGGAUGGGCCCGCGUUGGAUUCGCUAGUUGGUAGGGUAAUAGCCUACCAAGGCGACGAUCCAUAGCUGGUCUGAGAGGAUGAUCAGCCACACUGGGACUGAGACACGGCCCAGACUCCGACGGGAGGCAGCAGUGUGGAAUAUUGGACAAUGAGCGAUAGCCUGAUCCAGCAAUGCCGCGGGAGUGAUGAAGGCCUUAGGGUUGUAAAGCUCUUUUACACGGGAUGAUAAUGACAGUACCGGGAGAAUAAGCUCCGGCUAACUCCGUG
This 433-nucleotide ribosomal RNA is filed under the name uncultured bacterium. Its description in RNAcentral is "partial 16S ribosomal RNA". It matches the Rfam family "Bacterial small subunit ribosomal RNA", at positions 29 to 507 of the family's 1533-position model. The record is from RNAcentral.